Molecule: ribosomal RNA, 893 nt
Filed under: Akanthomyces dipterigenus
Lineage: Eukaryota; Fungi; Ascomycota; Sordariomycetes; Hypocreales; Cordycipitaceae
Description: partial large subunit ribosomal RNA
Rfam family: Eukaryotic large subunit ribosomal RNA
Source: RNAcentral
ACAUAUCAAUAAGCGGAGGAAAAGAAACCAACAGGGAUUGCCCCAGUAACGGCGAGUGAAGCGGCAACAGCUCAAAUUUGAAAUCUGGCCCCCGGGUCCGAGUUGUAAUUUGUAGAGGAUGCUUUUGGCGAGGUGCCUUCCGAGUUCCCUGGAACGGGACGCCAUAGAGGGUGAGAGCCCCGUCUGGUCGGACACCGAGCCUCUGUAAAGCUCCUUCGACGAGUCGAGUAGUUUGGGAAUGCUGCUCAAAAUGGGAGGUAUAUGUCUUCUAAAGCUAAAUAUUGGCCAGAGACCGAUAGCGCACAAGUAGAGUGAUCGAAAGAUGAAAAGCACUUUGAAAAGAGGGUUAAAAAGUACGUGAAAUUGUUGAAAGGGAAGCGCCUAUGACCAGACUUGGGCCCGGUGAAUCAUCCAGCGUUCUCGCUGGUGCACUUUGCCGGGCACAGGCCAGCAUCAGUUUGGCGCGGGGGAGAAAGGCUCUGGGAAUGUGGCUCCUCCGGGAGUGUUAUAGCCCACUGCGUAAUACCCUGCGCCGGACUGAGGUACGCGCAUUGCAAGGAUGCUGGCGUAAUGGUCAUCAGCGACCCGUCUUGAAACACGGACCAAGGAGUCGUCUUCGUAUGCGAGUGUUCGGGUGUCAAACCCCUACGCGUAAUGAAAGUGAACGCAGGUGAGAGCUUCGGCGCAUCAUCGACCGAUCCUGAUGUUCUCGGAUGGAUUUGAGUAAGAGCAUACGGGGCCGGACCCGAAAGAAGGUGAACUAUGCCUGUAUAGGGUGAAGCCAGAGGAAACUCUGGUGGAGGCUCGCAGCGGUUCUGACGUGCGAAUCGAUCGUCAAAUAUGGGCAUGGGGGCGAAAGACUAAUCGAACCUUCUAGUAGCUGGUUUCCGCGA